CCUACGGGGGGCUGCAGUAGGGAAUAUUGCGCAAUGGGCGAAAGCCUGACGCAGCAAUACCGCGUGAGUGAGGAAGGUCUUCGGAUUGUAAAGCUCUGUCAGAAUGGAAAAACGGCGGACGGUCUAAUAGGCCGUACGAGUGAUGGUACAUUCAAAGGAAGCACCGGCCAACUUCGUGCCAGCAGCCGCGGUAAUACGAAGGGUGCAAGCGUUGUUCGGAUUGAUUGGGCGUAAAGAGAAGGCAGGCGGGAAAGCUCGGGGCUCAACCCCGAAAUUGCGCCUGAAACUGUUUAUCUAGAAUCUUGGAGAGGGAGGGAGAAUAUCGCAUGUAGGGGUAAAAUCCGUAGAGAUGCGAUGGAAUAUCGGAGGCGAAGGCGCCCUCCUGGACAAGUAUUGACGCUGAGGUGCGAAAGCGUGGGGAGCAAACAGGAUUAGAUACCCUUGUAGUC
This 449-nucleotide ribosomal RNA is filed under the name uncultured bacterium. RNAcentral describes it as "partial 16S ribosomal RNA". It matches the Rfam family "Bacterial small subunit ribosomal RNA", at positions 338 to 795 of the family's 1533-position model. The record is from RNAcentral.